This 202-nucleotide unclassified non-coding RNA is filed under the name Hevea brasiliensis (rubber tree). Lineage: Eukaryota; Viridiplantae; Streptophyta; Magnoliopsida; Malpighiales; Euphorbiaceae. The record is from RNAcentral.
CACUAAAAUAAAGACAGAAAAUGAUGUUAAACAGCUAGCAGUUUCACCUUCAGCAUCCAACAAAAGAAGUUGUUUUGAGAACAAAUGUGAAGGAGAAUACAAAAAAAGGACAGCUACACAAAACCAGUAAGCUUAACAACCUAAAACUAUGCCAUAACACCUCAAAAUGAAAAGAAAAUAAAACCCCAGAUUAUUUUGAAAU